RNAcentral lists this non-coding RNA (43 nucleotides) under unclassified sequences. Its description in RNAcentral is "L31-Actinobacteria ribosomal protein leader". It matches the Rfam family "L31-Actinobacteria ribosomal protein leader". The record is from RNAcentral.
CAGGUACCGGUUCACGUCAGCAUUCGCUGGCGACCCGGCGACC